GUGAUCGAGCGACACCGCGUGCAGGACGAAGGCCUUCGGGUUGUAAACUGCUGUCACGCUCUAGGAAUGCCAUGUCGUUAAUAGCGGCAUGGUUGACCAAGGCGAAAGGAAGUGGCGGCUAACUCUGUGCCAGCAGCCGCGGUAAGACAGAGGCCACGAACGUUGUUCGGAAUUACUGGGCAUAAAGCGCACGUAGGCGGCCAAGUCCGUCCGAUGUGAAAGCCCCCGGCUCAACCGGGGAAUUGCAUCGGAUACAGCUUGGCUUGAGGACGGUUGGGGUGAGUGGAACUCCUGGUGGAGCGGUGAAAUGCGUAGAUAUCAGGAGGAACACCGGUGGCGAAAGCGGCUCACUGGACCGUUACUGACGCUGAGGUGCGAAAGCUAGGGGAGCAAACGGGAUUAGAUACCCCGGUAGUCCUAGCCGUAAACGAU
RNAcentral lists this ribosomal RNA (432 nucleotides) under uncultured anaerobic ammonium-oxidizing bacterium. Its description in RNAcentral is "bacterial SSU rRNA". It matches the Rfam family "Bacterial small subunit ribosomal RNA", at positions 383 to 810 of the family's 1533-position model. The record is from RNAcentral.